UUCGUAAAUACACUAUUUUCUCGUCAUGGACGAAGAUCGUCCAUGACGGACGUGACGUAACGGCACGUGACGAAAUAUCGGAAGUUGUUGUUUUUUUUGUUAGUUCGUUUGUUUGUUUUUUAUUCUUCUUCCUUUUCUUGUUCUUCUUCUUCUGGUGAAGACAAAACCUUUAGGACGCUGCUCUUGGACACAUUUGUCCUUGUUGAAGGUAGGGGGCGGGGCAGAGUAGCACGUGACGGCGUGAGGUCAUUGAGAGGGCGGGGACAGCCGAGGGACGUCACAGUGACGCCACGCUGCACGUGCGGAGGAUGAACUUCAUACUCGGGCCUUCUCUGACCGUCAGUACCAAGGUAACGGUGAUGUUAUUGAGAUGUUUAAGACGAUGAAGGUAUUAUGUGGAGGGGUUUCAGCAGAAUGGACAGUGUAAGGACCAGAGGCCCACAGCGUGAGAGUAAACAAGAGUCGAGUUAGAAAAUCCUCCUCGGGAUCGCACGUUCGGCCACUUGCACGCGAGCGGCCGCGCUUCCGCAUGGCAACCAUCGUCAAGGGGCAACGGGCCCAGGUCGUAUUUGUUGGUGUUAAAAAAAACAAACAAACAACAUAACCCUAUUUAAUUUAUUUGUGCGUUGUCCACCAUGUCGGCUGUUUGGAAAGUUGAUUUCGAUCUCACGGAGCGCGAGGUGUGAGGUAGGGGGCGGGGCAGAGUAGCACGUGACGGUGUGAGGUCAUUGAGAGGGCGGGGACAGCCGAGGGACGUCACGUGACGCCAUGCUGCACGUGCGGAGGAUGAUCUUCAUACUCGGGCCUUCUCUGGCCGUCAGUACCAAGAAUUGAUGAACAAGCAAGAGUAUUGGGACGAGACUUCACUGCCAGUGGAACUUUCUAAACCACGGGAUCUGAAUAAACGAUCCUUGGUGGAUUUUUCACCACCAAUACCGUUUAAGAAUUUUUGUUCCAGCGAUCAAUCCUUCGAGGUCGACCCUGGCAGUACUGCACUGCGAAAAUCACAACAAGGAUUGUUUAGACCUCCUCCACCAUACCAUCCAAACAGUCAGGAGGGAAGUAACACAAUGGAUUACAGUUUGUCCAAUUUCUCUGGCAUGGUCAGACAGGUGACUCCAGUAGAUCAAAAGGAAGCGAAUGGCAUUAACUUCGACGCAAACCCUUCCACCUCUGCCGAGGCCACAGAAUUUUCGCCGAGUGCAGCACGUGCAGCCCACAUUGGCUCUGCCGAAGAGGUCUCCCCGAGGUCCUCUUCCUUGGUAUUUGAUGAUAUGCCUUCAAUGCAACAAAGCCAACAGCACUAUAGCAGUGCAGAUAGCAACAUCAGUAACCUUCCCGGUCUUGCACGGAUUGCCAGUGAAUGUCUACGACAUGUGCGCAUGGAGCACGAGAGAAAUGAACACUACCGUAUUAACAUGCUCAGGGAAUGGCGCUGUUUCCGUGAAGUCAUAGACCACAGACUGCUCAGAGCUAAUGAUCUCAUGCAAGGGAUGGCGGCUUCCCUGCACUCGUUGCAACGCCCUCUACAACAAGCGGCGGAAUAUGAGCAGGACUGGCAGCCUCUUGGCCACAAUACGCGUUUCCCUGCUGGGAGAGGCAUGCUUCAGACCCAUUCCCGAAGGGGUAUAAAACGCCGAGGAACCAGAAAUCGAGGAAGAGGUCAAACGGGUAUGGCGAAGAGCCAUUAUAAAACCAAGGAAUAGUUGCUGUUUUAAUUUUUGUGCUUCUUCUGCUGUUGUUUGACAUCUUUUUAAUAAAGUUUUUUUUUUGUGUUUUUUUGAAACAUCUGGAUUGGUGUCCCUGUCUCACAUAUUGCUCAGCUUGACGCCGUGGACACCAAGGCCUUCAAGGUCAUUGGAUUGUCCCAUGAUUAAUGUGAAUUUAUGGGCCUAUCACUUUGCCAUCGCAGGCAGGUCAGUGUUCUCUGUCCUCUUCUGCCUCCUUUCUGGUCUUGCACCCUCUGCCUUCUCCGUGCUUUGCCACCCUCGGUAUCUGCCGGGUACACAUGGUCCACCCUCAACUCCCUUUUCGUGAAACUACCUCACCCCAGGAAUACUUCUCAUCUCCACUUAUCCAUUCCUCCUGUUUUUUAACCCUGCCUGUGGAACAAACUUCCAUAUUCUUUUCAAUUUCAUUCCUCCCUCCAGGUCUUCAAGACAUCUGUUCACCAUCAUCCCAGAUUACCCCCUCCCCCAUCCAAAACCAUGAUCUCUUCUACUCCCGUUAAAGCACCCCCCCCCCAAAGUUUCGACUUUUUAUGCCUCUGCUGAUGAAGUUGUCGGAGGAAUUAUAUUUUCGAGUUGUCCCGUACGUACGUACAGUGGGGGAGAACAAGUAUUUGAUACACUGCCGAUUUUGCAGGUUUUCCUACUUACAAAGCACGUAGAGGUCUGUAAUUUUUAUCAUAGGUACACUUCAACUGUGAAAGACGGAAUCUAACACCAAAAUCCUGAAAAUCACAUUGUAUGAUUUUAAAAUAAUUAAUUUGCAUUUUAUUGCAUGAAAUAAGUAUUUGAUACAUCAGAAAAACAGAACUUAAU
Molecule: long non-coding RNA, 2543 nt
Organism: Eptatretus burgeri (inshore hagfish)
Lineage: Eukaryota; Metazoa; Chordata; Myxini; Myxiniformes; Myxinidae
Source: Ensembl